UGUGCACUGGUGGGGUCCCUCGGCCUGGCCUGCGUCCUCUCGCAACCUGGGACCCCUUGGGGGAUGUCAGAGAGCCAGUUUCAGCCCAAUCUGCACAGGCCAGGCCGAGGGACCCCACCGGUGCACG
This 127-nucleotide microRNA precursor is filed under the name Myotis brandtii (Brandt's bat). RNAcentral describes it as "mir-9193 microRNA precursor family". It matches the Rfam family "mir-9193 microRNA precursor family". Lineage: Eukaryota; Metazoa; Chordata; Mammalia; Chiroptera; Vespertilionidae. The record is from Rfam by way of RNAcentral.